Molecule: long non-coding RNA, 1756 nt
Organism: Mercenaria mercenaria
Lineage: Eukaryota; Metazoa; Mollusca; Bivalvia; Venerida; Veneridae
Exons: 2
Source: RefSeq, a predicted model, not a curated record
AUAAUUUAUGGUAUUUCCUCAAGCUCAAGUAGGGACAAAGUUCAAAGUGAUGGCCAGUGUCCAAAACGUUUGCAGAUAAUUCAUUAUACCAUUAAUUUUGAUAAAAGAAACAUCAAACUAUUGGUACAAAAUGAAACUGUCAAUAUCAUUUUCUUCUACGGUGCUUCAAGUAAACGGAUUUAAUGAGACAGAAUUCUAACUCCAACAUUGAAAAAUUAAGAUCAAGUGCUGUGGGACUGUUUUAAAUUUUGCUCACUUCAUUCAAAAAUAACAUUGGGACAGAAAUAAAUAUAUCCACAAUAUGUAAUCUAAAGAGUAAAGGCAAAAUAGAGAACUUACACCCAUGUAAAUUAUAACUAAGUAUUUUUAAAGUCUUACUCUGUCCCCUUCUCUUUCAGAGCUAAAUUCACUUUGAACAGCAAGAAAUCGCUUAUCAAAUGAAAACUUUCCACUUUAUGUACAAUAAAUCAAUAAUAAUUCUUAAAAAAUAGUGAUAACUUACUACAAAAAAGGAAAACAUCUGAUUCAAGUGGGGCUUGAACCUACGCCCCCCCCCCCCCCCCCCACCCCGCAACCCCAGAAAAAUCAAAGUUCGUUUAUAGUAGGAAAUGAAUACUCCCUUUUUUUAUUGGUUUAAUACCUUAAAUACGGCAUCUAGCGCAGUGUUAAUGCGUACUUGAUUUGUCCACCGACGUUUAUCUCGAGUGUUCACGAAAGAACAAGCACAUUAAAAUAAAUAUCUUUAGAUCUCUCCCAUUCAUGUUUUCAGAUUGUGUCAAAUGAUAUUAGAUCCUCGUAAAAUAUAAAUUAUUUUGCGCUAAUACACUUAGAAUUAGCCUGAGUCGUUGCGUUCCAAAUUAACUGCUAUCAAGUAGCGGCACAUGCCGCUGAAAGAAGUACGCCAACAAUAACGUAAUAAAGCUAUUAGUUGGCUAACAAAGAAAAUGUCUAAGGGGUCCCUUUGUUAUGUAAAUUUUGUAAUAACAACUAUUCUUUGGCCUGUCUCGGUUGACCAUAUGUUCGUAACGGCAGAGAAAUGUUGGUGUUUAAAUCUACCGUUGACUGCUCACCACUUAACAUAUGCUAACUUGCUUAUCAAUUUUAUUCAUUCGAAUGGCAGGCAUUGACAACAAUGCAUUCAGUACAGUUUUGGUAUUUACCCUGCCUUAUAAACAUUUGUGGAACGAACGCCAAAAUGUAUGCAUAUAUGAUAUGUUAUUGAUAGGAAACUGGAACAUUAUCGAUCAUUAUGCUUUAGGAAGGUGAUCACGCAGCAGGCCUUGUUGCUUCCACCAGACUACAUUUUCCUGGUGAUGUCGAAACCCGGAAGUGAAAUACCCGUGGUUUUCUUACCUCACCUGGAUGCGAAUUCCCAGCGCUGAGAGUCUACGUCCCAUGGUUGUGACUUAACCGCAAAGCUGCCGACCUUCGUAAUCGACUGACUCAGAGAUAGCUCAGGGAUACAAACACUUGAUACGGGGUCCAGAAUGUUUUCAACUUCUUCGCGAUUUGAGUGGACAGUCUAUUAAAAGGUUUUCAUCAUAAUCGUGCUACUCUAAGUUUAAAGUGAAACUGAAGCAUCUGUAAAAUUGUCAUAAUGACAUACUAUAAGUAAUCUGCGAAUUCAGCAUCUUUUGUAUAAAGCAUCAGCUAUUGAGCUCUGUUUGUUCUGUUCUUCCUUUUAGUUUGUUUUUGCGAUUUAUUUAUUGUAAAUACAUAUAUUCAUGUUUUUUUCUGUAAAUAAAUUUGUAAAUAU